CGUCGAGCGAACAGGAGAGAGACGAGAAGCUUUUUGCUCUCUCUGAUGUUAGCGGCGGCACGGGUGAGUAACACGUGGGUAACCUACCUAUAAGACUGGGAUAACUUCGGGAAACCGGAGCUAAUACCGGAUAAUAUUUUGAACCGCAUGGUUCAAAAGUGAAAGAAGAGCGGUCUUGCUGUCACUUAUUUAGAUGGAUCCGCGCUGCAUUAGCUAGUUGGUAAGGUAACGGCUUACCAAGGCAACGAUGCAUAGCCGACCUGAGAGGGUGAUCGGCCACACUGGAACUGAGACACGGUCCAGACUCCUACGGGAGGCAGCAGUAGGGAAUCUUCCGCAAUGGGCGAAAGCCUGACGGAGCAACGCCGCGUGAGUGAUGAAGGUCUUCGGAUCGUAAAACUCUGUUAUUAGGGAAGAACAUAUGUGUAAGUAACUGUGCACAUCUUGACGGUACCUAAUCAGAAAGCCACGGCUAACUACGUGCCAGCAGCCGCGGUAAUACGUAGGUGGCAAGCGUUAUCCGGAAUUAUUGGGCGUAAAGCGCGCGUAGGCGGUUUUUUAAGUCUGAUGUGAAAGCCCACGGCUCAACCGUGGAGGGUCAUUGGAAACUGGAAAACUUGAGUGCAGAAGAGGAAAGUGGAAUUCCAUGUGUAGCGGUGAAAUGCGCAGAGAUAUGGAGGAACACCAGUGGCGAAGCGACUUUCUGGUCUGUAACUGACGCUGAUGUGCGAAAGCGUGGGGAUCAAACAGGAUUAGAUACCCUGGUAGUCCACGCCGUAAACGAUGAGUGCUAAGAGU
RNAcentral lists this ribosomal RNA (798 nucleotides) under Staphylococcus aureus. RNAcentral's name for it is "bacterial SSU rRNA". It matches the Rfam family "Bacterial small subunit ribosomal RNA", at positions 60 to 823 of the family's 1533-position model. Lineage: Bacteria; Bacillati; Bacillota; Bacilli; Caryophanales; Staphylococcaceae. The record is from RNAcentral.